Podarcis lilfordi (Lilford's wall lizard) is the source of this 74-nucleotide non-coding RNA. The record is from the annotation of a GenBank genome assembly. NCBI's taxonomy places the organism in Eukaryota, Metazoa, Chordata, Lepidosauria, Squamata, Lacertidae.
GAAGGGCCAUAGCUCAGUGGCAGGGCAUUUGCUUUGCAUGCAGAAGGUACCAGGUUCAAAUCCUGACAUCUUCA